AGUAACGCGUGGAUAACCUGCCUCAUACAGGGGGAUAACAGUUAGAAAUGACUGCUAAUACCGCAUAAGCACACGGGAGCGCAUGCUCCUGAGUGAAAAGCUCCGGCGGUAUGAGAUGGAUCCGCGUCUGAUUAGCUGGUUGGCGGGGUAACGGCCCACCAAGGCGACGAUCAGUAGCCGACCUGAGAGGGUGGCCGGCCACAUUGGGACUGAGACACGGCCCAAACUCCUACGGAAGGCAGCAG
RNAcentral lists this ribosomal RNA (245 nucleotides) under uncultured bacterium. RNAcentral describes it as "partial 16S ribosomal RNA". It matches the Rfam family "Bacterial small subunit ribosomal RNA", at positions 109 to 354 of the family's 1533-position model. The record is from RNAcentral.